Molecule: transfer RNA, 73 nt
Filed under: Bos taurus (domestic cattle)
Lineage: Eukaryota; Metazoa; Chordata; Mammalia; Artiodactyla; Bovidae
Also listed under: 3 other names
Rfam family: tRNA
About the family: Transfer RNA (tRNA) molecules are approximately 80 nucleotides in length. Their secondary structure includes four short double-helical elements and three loops (D, anti-codon, and T loops).
Source: Rfam by way of RNAcentral
UCCCUAGUGGCUCAGAUGGUAAAAGAGUCUGCCUGCAAUGCAGGAGACCCAGGCUUGAUCCCUGGGUUGGGAA